RNAcentral lists this transfer RNA (71 nucleotides) under Candidatus Vogelbacteria bacterium. RNAcentral describes it as "tRNA-Gly". It matches the Rfam family "tRNA". Rfam says of the family: Transfer RNA (tRNA) molecules are approximately 80 nucleotides in length. Their secondary structure includes four short double-helical elements and three loops (D, anti-codon, and T loops). Further hydrogen bonds mediate the characteristic L-shaped molecular structure. tRNAs have two regions of fundamental functional importance: the anti-codon, which is responsible for specific mRNA codon recognition, and the 3' end, to which the tRNAs corresponding amino acid is attached (by aminoacyl-tRNA synthetases). tRNAs cope with the degeneracy of the genetic code in two manners: having more than one tRNA (with a specific anti-codon) for a particular amino acid; and 'wobble' base-pairing, i.e. permitting non-standard base-pairing at the 3rd anti-codon position. Lineage: Bacteria; Candidatus Vogeliibacteriota. The record is from RNAcentral.
GCGGGUAUGGUCUAGUGGCAGAAUGCGGCCUUCCCAAGGCUGAGACGCGAGUUCGAUUCUCGCUACCCGCA